This 290-nucleotide small RNA is filed under the name Arabidopsis thaliana (thale cress). RNAcentral's name for it is "ATSL206230". Lineage: Eukaryota; Viridiplantae; Streptophyta; Magnoliopsida; Brassicales; Brassicaceae. The record is from RNAcentral.
UGCAUUCUUAAUGAGUUCAAUUGUUCAUCUUAGUAGAUAGGCCAAUUCUUAUAACACACAUAUAAACAAGACUCAUCAAAUAAUAGAUCCAACUACAAAUACCUAUGGCGGGCAUAUCUAUUGUCUGGAUUCAAGAUCUAGUUAAUUACUCUAGAUCUAACAUUAAACAUAAUUAAAGAUGAAGAAUUCUACAGAUAACCUAGCAAAGGGGGCAAUCUACUAAACCAUAUGAAUCCCUAAUGAGAAACCCUAUUCCUAACAAGCAGAUUACUCAAAUAUAUUGAUUGAAG